AAGUAUGAAGCAACUUUUGCACUUAGUUUCGACCUAAUCUUAGAUAUGAAAAUAUCCUUACUUU
Molecule: transfer RNA, 64 nt
Filed under: Isoscelipteron pectinatum
Lineage: Eukaryota; Metazoa; Arthropoda; Insecta; Neuroptera; Berothidae
Description: tRNA-Arg
Source: RNAcentral